RNAcentral lists this ribosomal RNA (451 nucleotides) under uncultured bacterium. Its description in RNAcentral is "partial 16S ribosomal RNA". It matches the Rfam family "Bacterial small subunit ribosomal RNA", at positions 328 to 793 of the family's 1533-position model. The record is from RNAcentral.
ACACCAGACUCCUACGGGAGGCAGCAGUGGGGGAUAUUGCACAAUGGGGGGAACCCUGAUGCAGCGACGCCGCGUGGGUGAAGGAGCGUUUCGGCGCGUAAAGCCCUAUCGGCAGGGAAGAAGGAGGACGGUACCUGACUAAGAAGCUCCGGCUAAAUACGUGCCAGCAGCCGCGGUAAUACGUAUGGAGCAAGCGUUAUCCGGAUUUACUGGGUGUAAAGGGAGCGCAGGCGGCACGGCAAGCCUGAUGUGAAAGCCCGCGGCCCAACCGCGGGACUGCAUUGGGAACUACCGGGCUGGAGUGUCGGAGAGGCAGGCGGAAUUCCUAGUGUAGCGGUGAAAUGCGUAGAUAUUAGGAGGAACACCAGUGGCGAAGGCGGCCUGCUGGACGAUGACUGACGCUGAGGCUCGAAAGCGUGGGGAGCAAACAGGAUUAGAUACCCUCGUACUG